UAAAAAGCUUCAAACUGGGAUUAGAUACCCCACUAUGCCCAGCCUCAAACUAUGACUCAAUACAAAACACUUCCGCCCGGGAACUACGAGCUCCAGCUUAAAACCCAAAGGACUUGGCGGUGCCCCACCCACCUAGAGGAGCCUGUUCUAUAAUCGAUAACCCCCGCUUAACCUCACCACUUCUUGCCAAUACCGCCUAUAUACCACCGUCGCCAGCCCACCCCGUGAGGGAAUAAGUAGGCACAAUGAUCACCACCAAAACGUCAGGUCAAGGUGUAGCGUAUGAAGUGGAAAGAAAUGGGCUACAUUCUCUAAUCUAGAGCACACGAAAAAUCAUAAGAAAUUAGAUUGGAAGGAGGAUUUAGUAGUAAAAAGAAACAAUAGUGUUCUUUUUAAAUUGGCCCUGGGGCGCGCACACA
Molecule: ribosomal RNA, 419 nt
Filed under: Bombina maxima (large-webbed bell toad)
Lineage: Eukaryota; Metazoa; Chordata; Amphibia; Anura; Bombinatoridae
Description: partial 12S ribosomal RNA
Rfam family: Bacterial small subunit ribosomal RNA
Source: RNAcentral